Molecule: transfer RNA, 74 nt
Filed under: Candidatus Roizmanbacteria bacterium RIFCSPHIGHO2_12_FULL_37_9b
Lineage: Bacteria; Candidatus Roizmaniibacteriota
Description: tRNA-Gln
Rfam family: tRNA
About the family: Transfer RNA (tRNA) molecules are approximately 80 nucleotides in length. Their secondary structure includes four short double-helical elements and three loops (D, anti-codon, and T loops).
Source: RNAcentral
UGGGGGAUCGUUCAAUGGUAGGACAACAGACUUUGGAUCUGUUUAUCUAGGUCCGCCUCCUAGUCCCCCAGCCA